UUUAUGGAGAGUUUGAUCCUGGCUCAGGAUGAACGCUGGCGGCGUGCCUAAUACAUGCAAGUCGAGCGAACGGACGAGAAGCUUGCUUCUCUGAUGUUAGCGGCGGACGGGUGAGUAACACGUGGAUAACCUACCUAUAAGACUGGGAUAACUUCGGGAAACCGGAGCUAAUACCGGAUAAUAUUUUGAACCGCAUGGUUCAAAAGUGAAAGACGGUCUUGCUGUCACUUAUAGAUGGAUCCGCGCUGCAUUAGCUAGUUGGUAAGGUAACGGCUUACCAAGGCAACGAUGCAUAGCCGACCUGAGAGGGUGAUCGGCCACACUGGAACUGAGACACGGUCCAGACUCCUACGGGAGGCAGCAGUAGGGAAUCUUCCGCAAUGGGCGAAAGCCUGACGGAGCAACGCCGCGUGAGUGAUGAAGGUCUUCGGAUCGUAAAACUCUGUUAUUAGGGAAGAACAUAUGUGUAAGUAACUGUGCACAUCUUGACGGUACCUAAUCAGAAAGCCACGGCUAACUACGUGCCAGCAGCCGCGGUAAUACGUAGGUGGCAAGCGUUAUCCGGAAUUAUUGGGCGUAAAGCGCGCGUAGGCGGUUUUUUAAGUCUGAUGUGAAAGCCCACGGCUCAACCGUGGAGGGUCAUUGGAAACUGGAAAACUUGAGUGCAGAAGAGGAAAGUGGAAUUCCAUGUGUAGCGGUGAAAUGCGCAGAGAUAUGGAGGAACACCAGUGGCGAAGGCGACUUUCUGGUCUGUAACUGACGCUGAUGUGCGAAAGCGUGGGGAUCAAACAGGAUUAGAUACCCUGGUAGUCCACGCCGUAAACGAUGAGUGCUAAGUGUUAGGGGGUUUCCGCCCCUUAGUGCUGCAGCUAACGCAUUAAGCACUCCGCCUGGGGAGUACGACCGCAAGGUUGAAACUCAAAGGAAUUGACGGGGACCCGCACAAGCGGUGGAGCAUGUGGUUUAAUUCGAAGCAACGCGAAGAACCUUACCAAAUCUUGACAUCCUUUGACAACUCUAGAGAUAGAGCUUUCCCCUUCGGGGGACAAAGUGACAGGUGGUGCAUGGUUGUCGUCAGCUCGUGUCGUGAGAUGUUGGGUUAAGUCCCGCAACGAGCGCAACCCUUAAGCUUAGUUGCCAUCAUUAAGUUGGGCACUCUAAGUUGACUGCCGGUGACAAACCGGAGGAAGGUGGGGAUGACGUCAAAUCAUCAUGCCCCUUAUGAUUUGGGCUACACACGUGCUACAAUGGACAAUACAAAGGGCAGCGAAACCGCGAGGUCAAGCAAAUCCCAUAAAGUUGUUCUCAGUUCGGAUUGUAGUCUGCAACUCGACUACAUGAAGCUGGAAUCGCUAGUAAUCGUAGAUCAGCAUGCUACGGUGAAUACGUUCCGGGUCUUGUACACACCGCCCGUCACACCACGAGAGUUUGUAACACCCGAAGCCGGUGGAGUAACCUUUUAGGAGCUAGCCGUCGAAGGUGGGACAAAUGAUUGGGGUGAAGUCGUAACAAGGUAGCCGUAUCGGAAGGUGCGGCUGGAUCACCUCCUUU
This 1551-nucleotide ribosomal RNA is filed under the name Staphylococcus aureus. RNAcentral describes it as "16S ribosomal RNA". It matches the Rfam family "Bacterial small subunit ribosomal RNA". Lineage: Bacteria; Bacillati; Bacillota; Bacilli; Caryophanales; Staphylococcaceae. The record is from RNAcentral.